RNAcentral lists this ribosomal RNA (459 nucleotides) under uncultured bacterium. Its description in RNAcentral is "partial 16S ribosomal RNA". It matches the Rfam family "Bacterial small subunit ribosomal RNA", at positions 338 to 795 of the family's 1533-position model. The record is from RNAcentral.
CCUACGGGUGGCAGCAGUGAGGAAUAUUGGUCAAUGGCCGAGAGGCUGAACCAGCCAAGUCGCGUGAGGGAUGACGGCCCUACGGGUUGUAAACUUCUUUUGCAGGGGAGCAAAGAGCGGGACGCGUCCCGCCUCGAGAGUACCCUGAGAAAAAGCAUCGGCUAACUCCGUGCCAGCCGCCGCGGUAAUACGGGGGAUCCGAGCGUUCUCCGGAUUUAUUGGGUUUAAAGGGUGCGCAGGCGGAAGCGCAAGUCAGCGGGAAAAUUGAGAGGCUCAACCUCUUCCCGCCGUUGAAACUGGGUUUCUUGAGGGGGCGAGAGGUAGGCGGAAUGCGUGGUGUAGCGGUGAAAUGCAUAGAUAUCACGCAGAACUCCGAUUGCGAAGGCAGCGUACCGGCGCCUAACUGACGCUGAUGCACGAAAGCGUGGGUAUCGAACAGGAUUAGAUACCCGAGUAGUC